CAACGAAUCUUCCGCAAUGGGCGAAAGCCUGACGGAGCAAUGCCGCGUGCGGGAUGAAGUAUCUAUGGUAUGUAAACCGCUGUCAGAAAGCAGAAACACUGAUUGCUUUCAAAGGAAGUGGCGACUAACUCUGUGCCAGCAGUCGCGGUAAUACAGAGGCCACAAGCGUUAGUCGGAAUCACUGGGCUUAAAGGGUGCGUAGGCGGAUUUCCAAGCGUCCUGUGAAAGCCUCCGGCUCAACCGGAGAACA
RNAcentral lists this ribosomal RNA (250 nucleotides) under uncultured bacterium. RNAcentral describes it as "partial 16S ribosomal RNA". It matches the Rfam family "Bacterial small subunit ribosomal RNA", at positions 355 to 622 of the family's 1533-position model. The record is from RNAcentral.